ACAACCAUUACAACUCUUGCAGAAUCAUCCACUACUACUGCAGGAGUUACCACAACAGCACCACAAACUACUGUUGCAACAGCAGAAUCCUCCACAACCGCAACAACAACAGCAGUGCCCUCAACAACCAUUACAACUCUUGCUGAAUCAUCCACUACUACUGCAGGAGUUACCACAACAGCACCACAAAUUACUGUUACAACAGCAGAAUCCUCCACAACAGCUAGAACAACAGCAGCAACAUCUGAAACACCAGCAACUUCAUCGCCAACAGGUUCAGCCACAGUCUUUACAUCUAUUAUUGGUACAUCCACCAGUGGUACAGCAAUAACCGCAAUAGUGACACAAUCUAAAGUUACUACAGAGUCUACAGCAUCUAACACUUCUACAGAACCUGCAGUGUCUACAGCUGCUAUAGCUUCUACUGUAUCUACAGCUUCAACAGCAUCUACAGCAUCAACAGCAUCUACAACCUCUACAGCAUCUACAGCCUCUACAACAUCUACAACCUCUACAGCAUCUACAACCUCUACAGCAUCUACAAUCUCUAAAGCAUCUACAACCUCUACAGCAUCUACAACCUCUACAGCAUCUACAACUUCCAAAGCAACUACUGCAAAAAUAAUACCUGAAGUGCUAACAGAUCUAGUGUUUAGCUCUUUUGAGACAUUUAUAGAUGCACUCAGUGAUGUCAACAGUGAGGAGUUUAAGAUUAGGUCUAAACUUGUCAAGGAUGAGCUUGAGCCUGUCUACAAAAUCAAGUAUUCUAACUUCCUCAGACUGAAUGUCCUAAGAUUCAGAUCAGGGUCAAUCAUCACAUCAACACAACUAGCUUUCAGCUUCAACCAAACUAUCCCAUCUGUUCAAGAGAUUUCAAACACCCUCUUGGAAGCAGUGGGAACAGGGGAUGUCAAUCCAUUAAAGAUAAUCCCUGAAUCAAUUUCAGUCAAUGGUUCAGCUACAACUGUUGCUCCUGCAACAACUACAACAACCACCACAGCAACUACAGUUUCAGGCGGAUUAAAGAUUGAAUCCAGUCUGUUCCAAGCAAUAUGCCUCAUUAUUAUGUCUAAAAUAUUAAGCUUUUUCCUAUAGAUCCCUUAAACAUAUCAACCAAACAUGAGAGUUCAACAAGACACACUGUAACAAAUUAAUUAAACACAAAAUGUAUUUAUUAUUAUUAUUAUUAAAUGUAUAGUAUUUCUCAUUGUAGCACAUUCUCAAAUACUAGUAUUGAGCAACAUAAAGAUAACUUUGAUAAUGCAUUUUUGCUGAAGAAUAUAACAGUAGAUAUCUGUUUAACAGCAGGCUGUUUUCUGGGAGGGAGAAGUAGAUCUUUUUCCUUAUGUAUUUCCUUUAAAUGUAAACAUUGUGAAUGUUGUUUAACUGUUUUGAGGUUAAUACUGUUUAAACUACUUAUUUUUGUUUGUCUAAGUUCUAACAUUGUAAUAUGUAAUAUUUUAAUUAAAUAAAAAUAUUUAUUAAAUGAUGUAGUCCA
Long non-coding RNA from Cyprinus carpio (common carp), 1498 nucleotides. Lineage: Eukaryota; Metazoa; Chordata; Actinopteri; Cypriniformes; Cyprinidae. The record is from Ensembl.